GACUACUGGGGUAUCUAAGCCUGUUUGCUCCCCACGCUUUCGUGCAUGAGCGUCAGUGUUGGCCCAGGGGGCUGCCUUCGCCAUCGGUAUUCCUCCACAUAUCUACGCAUUUCACCGCUACACGUGGAAUUCUACCCCCCUCUGCCACACUCCAGCUCCGUAGUUUCAAACGCCAUUCCCAGGUUAAGCCCGGGGCUUUCACGUCUGACUUGCGAAGCCGCCUGCGCACGCUUUACGCCCAGUAAUUCCGAUUAACGCUCGCACCCUACGUAUUACCGCGGCUGCUGGCACGUAGUUAGCCGGUGCUUCUUCUUACAGUACCGUCAUCCACGCGGGAUAUUCACCCGCGCGAUUUCGUUCCGUCCGAAAGUGCUUUACAACCCGAAGGCCUUCUUCACACACGCGGCAUGGCUGGAUCAGGGUUGCCCCCAUUGUCCAAAAUUCCCCACUGCAGCCCCCCGUAGG
RNAcentral lists this ribosomal RNA (465 nucleotides) under uncultured beta proteobacterium. RNAcentral's name for it is "partial 16S ribosomal RNA". Lineage: Bacteria; Pseudomonadati; Pseudomonadota; Betaproteobacteria. The record is from RNAcentral.